UUAGCCCUGAAAAUGGAUGGCGCUGAAGCGGGCAGCCGACACCACGCCGUCUGGGCGAGUGAUUUUUGCCUCAGAUGAGGUAGGAGGACGUGGCGGUCGUAUGGAAGCGUAUGCGCAAGCGUGCGUGGAACGGCCGCCAGUGCAGAUCUUGGUGUUAGUAGCAAAUAUUCAAACGAGAACCUUGAAGGGCGAAGCGGGGAAGGGUUCCACGCGUACAUUGAUUGGGUGUGGGUAAGUCGUUCCUAAGCCGCGUGGCAAUAGCUAAUACAAAUGGCGAAAGGGAAGCAGGUUGACAUUCCUGCACACGGAUGUGGAGGCGGUGACGCACUUUCUGGGGUAAUGAAGCUGGCUGUGGCACUGGGCAGAGUUGUCUUUUCUGUUUAACCGCUCUCUCACUGUGUGGAAUCCGCUUGUCGGGAGAAACACGUGUUGACGGGCAUAGCGCCGGAGCUUUCCCGGCGUCCAGUUCGCUACGGACGGACCUUGAAAAAUUACCUGCUGGCACAGUCGGUUUUGAAUUUUUUUUAGAACGCAGAUCUGUGUAUGAAAAAUCCACGCCGUAACGUACCGAUAACCGCAUCAGGUCCCCAAGGUGAACAGCCUCUGCUCGAUAUGAUCAAUGCAGGUAAGGGAAGUCGGCAAAAUAGACCCGUAACUUUGGGAAAAGGGUUGGCUCUAGUGCUGUGUGGGACUGGUUGUUGAGGUGUCCGAGCUGCUCCUGUUGACUCUGCUGCGGAGCUGGCAAAGCUGGAGAAUUUGAAAAAGUUUUUCGGUGGCGCUCGCACUGAAGUGGGGCCUGACGGUCGAACGGUCUUGGCCCGCGACGACGCCCACGGCAUGCAGCAAACUAGAACUGCAACGGGCAAAGGGAAUCCGACUGUUUAAUUAAAACAAA
RNAcentral lists this ribosomal RNA (895 nucleotides) under Caloglossa apicula. Its description in RNAcentral is "LSU rRNA". It matches the Rfam family "Eukaryotic large subunit ribosomal RNA", at positions 1306 to 2155 of the family's 3401-position model. The record is from RNAcentral. Lineage: Eukaryota; Rhodophyta; Florideophyceae; Ceramiales; Delesseriaceae.